AUUUGCACUAUGUGGUGCUAUGUUGAGAUGAAACACGCGCUGUGUGAUGAGCGUGGUGAUGUUACUGCAGGGGAUUCAGACUUGGUCAAUUCUGAUUGAUGACUUACUGUACUAUGCUAUGUUGAGAUGAAACACACGUCGUAUGAUGAGCGUUGUGAUAUUACUGCUGGGAAUUCGGAUUUGGUCCAUCCCGAUUGAUGACUUACUGUCCUUUUUGACUGAGACUAAGCCUAUAUCUGUAUAUUUUGGGCUAGUUGCCAUGUUUGGGGCCUUGUGCUGAUAUGUAGAACCCUUAGGGAGCAUGUUGAGCUUAUUGAUCUCACUUUACCUAUUGAACACAUACUCUC
RNAcentral lists this long non-coding RNA (347 nucleotides) under Nicotiana benthamiana. RNAcentral's name for it is "long non-coding RNA (NBEN_LNC008268)". Lineage: Eukaryota; Viridiplantae; Streptophyta; Magnoliopsida; Solanales; Solanaceae. The record is from RNAcentral.